RNAcentral lists this ribosomal RNA (253 nucleotides) under uncultured bacterium. RNAcentral's name for it is "partial 16S ribosomal RNA". It matches the Rfam family "Bacterial small subunit ribosomal RNA", at positions 524 to 776 of the family's 1533-position model. The record is from RNAcentral.
UACAGAGGGGGCAAGCGUUGUUCGGAAUUACUGGGCGUAAAGCGUGCGCAGGCGGCUUUGCAAGACAGAUGUGAAAUCCCCGGGCUCAACCUGGGAACUGCAUUUGUGACUGCAUCGCUGGAGUGCGGCAGAGGGGGAUGGAAUUCCGCGUGUAGCAGUGAAAUGCGUAGAUAUGCGGAGGAACACCGAUGGCGAAGGCAAUCCCCUGGGCCUGCACUGACGCUCAUGCACGAAAGCGUGGGGAGCAAACAGG